Long non-coding RNA from Triticum aestivum (bread wheat), 407 nucleotides. RefSeq lists it as uncharacterized. The record is from RefSeq and is a predicted model, not a curated record. NCBI's taxonomy places the organism in Eukaryota, Viridiplantae, Streptophyta, Magnoliopsida, Poales, Poaceae. The transcript is spliced from 2 exons.
AGUUCAUGUAGGAGGCGUAUGUAGAGCAGCGGGGUGAGGAAAAACAUGAAAGAAUUCAAUAGAAGUGUGAUCAAAAGGAGCGGGACAUUACGUGAGCUGUGGACCGUCUCUUGGAUGAUCUUCCUCUGUCCUCCACCAAUUAUUCGGAUCUGUUCUUCCCCCUUGCUUCUCUCCAGGUGAUUUGUUGUCCAGGAAAGGAAAAAAGAGCGUGGGCAACGGUCCAGGUGGGUUUCGUGAUAGUUGCCUUGUUUUGUUUUGGUUAUUAGUUAGAACCGGGUCAGAUUUUAGCCGCCCGACCCAUUUUUUUGGAAAUACAAGCAUACAAUUGUCCAUGGUAUUUGGACAUAGGUGUCAGCGCUUGAUUUGUCAGGAAAUUUGACUAUAAUAUAGUGCUUUUUACCUUUGUA